This is a non-coding RNA of Cyanistes caeruleus (blue tit), 3478 nucleotides long. The record is from RefSeq and is a predicted model, not a curated record. Lineage: Eukaryota; Metazoa; Chordata; Aves; Passeriformes; Paridae.
UUUAACUUCGGAUAAUAUAAAAAGCUUUCAACUAAGGUGUCUGAAAUAUAGCAUGACAGAUGUGGAUUUUUUUUUUUUGUUCCUACAUUAGCUUUCAUCCUGACCAUAAUGGUUCAAAAGUGACACAAAUGUUGCUAUUAAUUAAACCCAUCCUUGUACAGUCAAUCAGUGAUAUCUCCAAGAGGUGUAGUAAAGCUGCAGAUGAUAUCAGGACACAUCAAAGCUCCAAGCACAUGAAUAUGGCUUCAUGCCAGGCCAGCAUCAGUCUGGUAGGGAUCUUUAGCUCAGGCAAUGUAUUAGAUUCGAGAGCAGCUCUCUUCCAGAAAUAAUUUUUCCACUUUUGUAUAGCAUCACAACUGGAAAAAUAAACAGAGUGAGACUGGAGCUAAUGCUAUGCAAAACAGUGUAUUCCUGGAAACUGGAGCUUGGGAAAAAGCUGUACAGAGCCACAACUGGUGAUCAGCUCUGGCCUAACACGGCUUAUUAGCUUCAGUUAAGUAACAGUGAUAACACAUUUUCUCUCUCAGAAACAUCUGGAUGUCUCUGCUCUGUGCAGGGAAAGAAGUCUGUACACUGGAAGGGCUUGUUAAGCCCAGAGAAGUGUCACAUGAAUGCAUGGAACCAGCCUGGUUCCAGCAUUACCUUGGAGCUAACAAGCCAAGUUUGAACACAGAAGGCUUUGACACAAAGGGCAGAGACAGAGUAUUUCUGCACUAAUUAGCUUAAAGGCAGUGCUGGACCAAAACAGGUUAAACCAAGUUUGUCAUGAGCUAACUUUUUUUAAAAGGCACAUGAACAUCUCUGCAUGUUCCUAAUGCAUGCAUCUCCCUUAUCUAUGUAUGUCCCCUAUCUUGGAAUGAUAGCCUCCACUUACUUUAAACAUAGGAUUUUUUUUCUAGUUGUUUUCUAUGCUGGCAUGUAAUAUGAUGCACAAUGUAAUUAUUAUUUCCCUAAAAUUAUGGCAUUCAUCAUGUAAGUUCUAGUUCUGUCGUUAUUUAACAACAAAAGGUACUACUUAUUUCCUCAUAGUCCCCGCAGGUUUUCUGGAAAAUUAUGUUUCUACAGUCACAGUAUCCUUAUAAAAUAACAAUAGAUGCUAUUCAGUCUAAAAUCAAAUCUGAGUUUUGAGCAUUUAUUCUGCAUAGAUAUAAAUUAUUUCCUAUAAUACAUCAACACAGAACCUGUGUGAGAUAAAUCUGAUGUACACUUGGAAACUAACAUUAAAGAUUUUUAUUUUCCACAAAGCAUGCAACUGGUGCAAACUCACUCUGUUGUUUAGAAUUAGUUAAAAAAUAUGGAGCUAAGUUUCCUUUGGCAGACUCUGUGCUGAAUCAGGCAUACACUUUUCAUGAACCAUAAUGCUGCUGUAAACACAUGUCAUGUCAUAUGUCAUAAACAUAUGUCAGUUUACUCACAGGUAAACUUUUUAGGGUAAACCUCUAUUCCCAGUUGUGCAUAAAAAUGUAAAGAGAGAACACAGUGAAGAAAAAAAAAGUUCAUUUUUGUAUCUUAGUCUAGAUGUAUCCUUGCUAGACUUAGUUCUGAGCGUUUAUUUUUUUUUAUUACCAGCUGUACCCACAAGGAACUCACACAUGCGAGUAUUGGCCACAGGGUGUCAGACCGAAGAUCCACCUCCCCACAGUAUAUUGUUUUCAAUAAACACCCAGAACGUCUUUAAAAAUUCUGCCUGUACAAGCUCCUCUGAGCACUGUGGGUAGCCUGCACCACACAUCCAGUGGUGCAUGGUCAGGGAUACAGCAAGGAGAGGGAAGCUGAAGAGGAAAGAAGGAAGGAUCCUGGCUGCUGUAGGCUCUGCUUCAAUCCUCAUCAUGCCGUCUGCAAGGACAGCAUCUCUGGGUGACUUGAACUCAUCCUUAGACAGCUUCAUGGAGCAGCUGACAUUGGGGGUUCUCUGCUCUGUGUCCCCUUCUUGAGCCUGGUAUUCUCUUUACAAUGCCCAGGGAAAAAAGGAACAGCAUAACCUUCUCCUUAAGACUCUCCCAUCCUCCAACUGUUUUCAGCUCCAUGGAUUUCCUGAGACUGUUGUUAUUAAGUCUUUGUUCCCUUCCCCCAGCUUCCUAAAUUAAAUGCCUUGCUGAGAUUUUUACUGCAAAGAAAACUGUGUUGCUAAACUUUGUCCUGAUGAAAAAUUUACACUAAUUUUCUGCAUUAAUACUUCUGUGAUCACAACACAGCAGACCUGCCUCUCAGGAAACACAUUCAAAUUAUUUUUGUUUCAGUGCAGCUGGGAGUGGAGUACACAGUGAAGUGGGUUGGCACCACCAGCAAAACAGCUAUCUUACAAAGCCAGAUAAAGACUUGAGCUUAGAGUGGGUGGGUUUGGUUCAGCCAAAAAGAUGGUAGAAAAUCCUGGAGAAUGCAGGGAUGUGCAUUCAUUAGCCGACCACAAGUCGACGGAGAGGAUACAACACUCCCCGUUCUCCUAAGGGCAGCAUUCAACAGAUGAUUUCAUGGUACCAAGCCCAGUACCUGGAACCCACCAGCAGAGAUGUACUUGUUCACCUGUAGGUUUGACAGCUGAGCCACUGGAGCAAGAGAAUGGCAAAUCACGGCAAGAAUAAAAAUCCAUAUACACACAGGAGUGUGUUCUCCAGUAUUAUAACUGAAAAUAGAACAAUCUUUGGAAAAGGAGGAUGGGCAGAGUAGGAUUUAAAAGGAACACGGAAGCAUAUUUACCAGUCUGCACAACAUUAUGCAGUGUUGGUAUUCUCACACCUGGAAAGUGGAGUGGACAUAGCUGGGUGAACACGAUAAAGCCAGGACACAGAGUAUUGUUAUGUCACAGCCUCCAACUGUGGUCAGCUCAGGGAUUUCCCAAGUCAUGGCUUGUGUAUUUCCAACCUGCAAAGGGUUUCUUUCCCACAAACUUGCUUGGUAUCCCCUUUAAUUCACAGCAGUAGAUUACAUUCUUGGUCUGGAUGAUGCUAAUUCUGUGCUUCUUGUUUAUGCACUUAAUACCGGCUUCAAAUCCCUUUCCAAGAUAAAUACAGCUCAGAUGAAAUUUGAACAGAAGGUUUCAAAGAAAGCUAAGACAGGCAGGCCAGCAAUAUCCCAUGGAAACUUGGCAUAUAUUUCUAUCAAACUUUUGAAAAUGACAAGCCUUAACAAAAUCACAGCCAACAUCACAAAUAAACGCUUAACAUAAGUGGAUGUAAUGUCCUGAUGCAGCAGUCUCGAAGAAACUAUGUGGGUUUAGACACUACUAAAUUUUAUUUACUGGACACACUGGAGAAACUUUCACUGUUCAUUGUGCAAACUCUGUUUAAUCUUUGUCUGACCAGGCACAAUGGAUGCAUCUUUUUUCAACAUUAGCACUACUAUUUCCUUCUACUAUUUUAGUAAUAUUAAUUACUACUCAUAUGACUGAAUUUUAUUGCAUGCAUAAAUGUUUAUAUAAAUAAGCUUGCAAUAUAUUUUAAUAAAAGUAUAUUUUAAUAAAAGUAAAAUUCUAGUCAAG